Molecule: ribosomal RNA, 468 nt
Filed under: uncultured bacterium
Lineage: Bacteria
Description: partial 16S ribosomal RNA
Rfam family: Bacterial small subunit ribosomal RNA
Source: RNAcentral
GAUGAACGCUGGCGGCGUGCUUAACACAUGCAAGUCGAACGGAAAGGCCGAAGCUUGCUUCGGUACUCGAGUGGCGAACGGGGGAGUAACACGUGGGUGAUCUGCCCUGUACUUCGGGAUAAGCUUGGGAAACUGGGUCUAAUACCGGAUAUGACGAUCUCUUGGAUGGGGUUGUGGAAAGCUUUUGCGGUAUGGGAUGAGCUCGCGGCCUAUCAGCUUGUUGGUGGGGUAAUGGCCUACCAAGGCGUCGACGGGUAGCCGGCCUGAGAGGGUGUACGGCCACAUUGGGACUGAGAUACGGCCCAGACUCCUACGGGAGGCAGCAGUGGGGAAUAUUGCACAAUGGGCGCAAGCCUGAUGCAGCGACGCCGCGUGGGGGAUGACGGCCUUCGGGUUGUAAACUCCUUUCGCAAUCGACGAAGCCUUUUGGUGACGGUAGGUUGAGAAGAAGCACCGGCUAACUACGUG